RNAcentral lists this transfer RNA (68 nucleotides) under Loxodonta africana (African savanna elephant). It matches the Rfam family "tRNA". From Rfam's summary of the family: Transfer RNA (tRNA) molecules are approximately 80 nucleotides in length. Their secondary structure includes four short double-helical elements and three loops (D, anti-codon, and T loops). The record is from Rfam by way of RNAcentral. Lineage: Eukaryota; Metazoa; Chordata; Mammalia; Proboscidea; Elephantidae.
GCAGUGGUUCAAUGGUAGAACACACACCUCACAUGUGGGAGAGCUGGGUUCAAUUCCUGGUCAAUGCC